AACACAUGAUAUCUAAAUAAUAGCACCAUAGUAUACUUCACUAGCUUUUUAAUUAUUUUUUAAAUAUACAGGAAGGUAAUAAGUAACAAAGUAAUAAUAGUGAAUAGUUUAAGCUCAGCAUAAUCGGACAAACUUUCAUUUGAUAAAAGCGAUAAUUAGUUUUCAGUGGCUUUUUUGUCUACCAAAAGGAGGUGCUUUUUAAAUACGUGCAUCCAAGAUAAAAUAUAAAAAAAUGUUCAGGUUUGCUUUUCUACAUAGAUAAAAUAAUAUGUAACUAGCUCUCCCAGAUUUCAGCAACAGUCAGUGAAUGUUUAGCCACAAAUUUGCAGUUAAUUGUAUAAUCAGUUCUUACGAUUUUAUGAACAAGUUCUAUAUUCUUUGUGCCUUAUACCUAGUUGUAAGCAGUCAUUCCACAAUUAUUUUCCUGAAGUGGCUUGGUUAAUGCAACACCAGAAACAGGUCACAGACAAUAGUGCUGUAAGAAAUGUGGGAGGAAAGAGGCACAUGGGAAGUAGCUAGCUCGUGCUGGAGGAACUGGAAAAAAACCUCACAUGGGAGAUGACAGUUGAGCUGAAUUCUUAACUAGAGUUGUAACAGGGAGAGGCCCUUACAUGCAGACCACCUGUAUGGAUUAAGAUAAGACAUAAAGUAAUCUUUUAAAAGAACUAUUAUUUAGAAACCUGGUAUAUGGUGCUGUGUUAUACUGGGUUUGAGAAAGAAUAGGAAGUGUUACAAGGAUUCAGUGGUUGGAAAUUAAGGAAGAUAGAAGGUUAGUGUUGGAUCUGUUUUGGCUCUUUGGUCAUGCUUUUGUUUUUCUCAAAAUGAAUGCAGUGCCUGUCCCAGAAAAUACCAUAUGAGAAGCGAUUUCAUAAUGCUGUGAGAGUCUGUUACAGGGACUUGAUCAAGUCUGAGGGCCAUCAGAGAAAGUCCCUCUGAGGAAGUUGCUUUCAAGCUGACACCUGAUGGAUGAGGCAGAAUUAUCCCAGCUGGGAUUUGGGAACUGGUGUUUGAGGCUGAGGACUAGCAUGCAUGACAGGAAAACAACCCAGAGUGACAGAAAUGGGAGUGGUAUGAGAUGGCAUCAGAGACGCAGAUGCAAGGUCAAAUCAUUCAGAGCCUCCUAGACCAUGUGAACACAUGUAUUAUGCUGUGGAGAUACUGUUUAAUAGGCAGUCUGCUUUUUUUUAUGCAGUACCAAAUAUGCCCCAACAGCGGCAAGACCAGCAUCAUCAGAGUGCCAUGAUGCACCCAGCGUCAGCAGCGGGCCCACCGAUUGCAGCCACCCCACCAGCUUACUCCACGCAAUAUGUUGCCUACAGUCCUCAGCAGUUCCCAAAUCAGCCCCUUGUUCAGCAUGUGCCACAUUAUCAGUCUCAGCAUCCUCAUGUCUAUAGUCCUGUAAUACAGGGUAAUGCUAGAAUGAUGGCACCACCAACACAUGCCCAGCCUGGUUUAGUAUCUUCUUCAGCAACUCAGUACGGGGCUCAUGAGCAGACGCAUGCGAUGUAUGUUUCCACGGGCUCCCUUGCUCAGCAGUAUGCGCACCCUAAUGCUACCCUGCACCCACAUACUCCACACCCUCAGCCUUCAGCUACCCCCACUGGACAGCAGCAAAGCCAACAUGGUGGAAGUCAUCCUGCACCCAGUCCUGUUCAGCACCAUCAGCACCAGGCUGCCCAGGCUCUCCAUCUG
This 1692-nucleotide small RNA is filed under the name Pongo abelii (Sumatran orangutan). RNAcentral's name for it is "retained intron". The record is from RNAcentral. Lineage: Eukaryota; Metazoa; Chordata; Mammalia; Primates; Hominidae.